RNAcentral lists this ribosomal RNA (813 nucleotides) under Pestalotiopsis rhodomyrti. RNAcentral describes it as "eukaryotic LSU rRNA". It matches the Rfam family "Eukaryotic large subunit ribosomal RNA", at positions 80 to 918 of the family's 3401-position model. The record is from RNAcentral. RNAcentral also lists the same sequence under 5 other names. Lineage: Eukaryota; Fungi; Ascomycota; Sordariomycetes; Amphisphaeriales; Sporocadaceae.
UUAGUAACGGCGAGUGAAGCGGCAACAGCUCAAAUUUGAAAUCUGGCCCUCGGGUCCGAAUUGUAAUUUGUAGAGGAUGAUUUUGGUGCGGUAUCUUCCGAGUUCCUUGGAACAGGACGCCUUAGAGGGUGAGAGCCCCGUACGGUUGAAUGCCUAGCCUCUGUAAAUCUCCUUCGACGAGUCGAGUAGUUUGGGAAUGCUGCUCUAAAUGGGAGGUAAAUUUCUUCUAAAGCUAAAUAUUGGCCAGAGACCGAUAGCGCACAAGUAGAGUGAUCGAAAGAUGAAAAGCACUUUGAAAAGAGGGUUAAAUAGCACGUGAAAUUGUUGAAAGGGAAGGAUUUGUGACCAGACUUUUUCUGGGCGGAUCAUCCGGGGUUCUCUCCGGUGCACUUUGCCCAGUAAAGGCCAGCAUCGAUUUUCGGCGGCGGAUAAAAGCAGUGGGAAUGUGGCUCCCUACGGGGAGUGUUAUAGCCCAUUGUAUAAUACGCUGCUGGGGAUCGAGGUACGCGCUUCUGCAAGGAUGCUGGCGUAAUGGUUAUCAAUCACCCGUCUUGAAACACGGACCAAGGAGUCGAACAUUUAUGCGAGUGUUUGGGUGUUAAACCCUCACGCGUAAUGAAAGUGAACGGAGGUGAGAGCCCGUACGGGUGCAUCAUCGACCGAUCCUGAAGUUUUCGGAUGGAUUUGAGUAAGAGCAUAACUGUUCGGACCCGAAAGAUGGUGAACUAUGCGUGGAUAGGGUGAAGCCAGAGGAAACUCUGGUGGAGGCUCGCAGCGGUUCUGACGUGCAAAUCGAUCGUCAAAUCUGCGCAU